Molecule: long non-coding RNA, 271 nt
Organism: Brassica rapa (field mustard)
Lineage: Eukaryota; Viridiplantae; Streptophyta; Magnoliopsida; Brassicales; Brassicaceae
Source: RefSeq, a predicted model, not a curated record
ACACGGUACUAAGUGUUUCUUGAUAAACUAAUAAGCCAUUAAUUGCCUAAUACCAUAUGUGGCCACUAAAAGCUAACAAAUAAUCGUUAAAAAUGAUCUAUGAUACUCGAAACAUUUAAGACACUAAAACUGCAAAUCGGCUUAAAAGGAGUUUAUUACAGAGUCUAGGUGUCUUAUUACAAGAUGGUUAGCACAGAGGUUCUAAGUUACUAUGGUAUUACUCAGUGAAACAAACAUUACAGGAAACAAGAUACGUGGAAGAAACAUAGAA